RNAcentral lists this ribosomal RNA (253 nucleotides) under uncultured bacterium. RNAcentral describes it as "partial 16S ribosomal RNA". It matches the Rfam family "Bacterial small subunit ribosomal RNA", at positions 524 to 776 of the family's 1533-position model. The record is from RNAcentral.
UACAGAGGUCUCAAGCGUUGUUCGGAUUCAUUGGGCGUAAAGGGUGCGUAGGUGGCGGGGUAAGUCAGGUGUGAAAUCUCGGAGCUCAACUCCGAAACUGCACUUGAUACUGCCUUGCUCGAGUACUGGAGAGGAGAUUGGAAUUUACGGUGUAGCAGUGAAAUGCGUAGAUAUCGUAAGGAAGACCAGUGGCGAAGGCGACUACCUGGCCUGUUCUUGACGCUGAGGCGCGAAAGCUAGGGGAGCAAACGGG